This 549-nucleotide ribosomal RNA is filed under the name Staphylococcus sp. Its description in RNAcentral is "bacterial SSU rRNA". It matches the Rfam family "Bacterial small subunit ribosomal RNA", at positions 317 to 857 of the family's 1533-position model. The record is from RNAcentral. Lineage: Bacteria; Bacillati; Bacillota; Bacilli; Caryophanales; Staphylococcaceae.
AACUGAGACACGGUCCAGACUCCUACGGGAGGCAGCAGUAGGGAAUCUUCCGCAAUGGGCGAAAGCCUGACGGAGCAACGCCGCGUGAGUGAUGAAGGUCUUCGGAUCGUAAAACUCUGUUGUUAGGGAAGAACAAAUUUGUUAGUAACUGAACAAGUCUUGACGGUACCUAACCAGAAAGCCACGGCUAACUACGUGCCAGCAGCCGCGGUAAUACGUAGGUGGCAAGCGUUAUCCGGAAUUAUUGGGCGUAAAGCGCGCGUAGGCGGUUUCUUAAGUCUGAUGUGAAAGCCCACGGCUCAACCGUGGAGGGUCAUUGGAAACUGGGAAACUUGAGUGCAGAAGAGGAGAGUGGAAUUCCAUGUGUAGCGGUGAAAUGCGCAGAGAUAUGGAGGAACACCAGUGGCGAAGGCGGCUCUCUGGUCUGUAACUGACGCUGAUGUGCGAAAGCGUGGGGAUCAAACAGGAUUAGAUACCCUGGUAGUCCACGCCGUAAACGAUGAGUGCUAAGUGUUAGGGGGUUUCCGCCCCUUAGUGCUGCAGCUAACG